RNAcentral lists this long non-coding RNA (1035 nucleotides) under Linum usitatissimum (flax). RNAcentral describes it as "long non-coding RNA (LUSI_LNC003496)". Lineage: Eukaryota; Viridiplantae; Streptophyta; Magnoliopsida; Malpighiales; Linaceae. The record is from RNAcentral.
AGCUGAACUGAAAUAUCCUCAAUACAUACGUAAAACGAUAGAGGAAAUAAACAGAUCAUCAAAGGCUUGAAAUCAACAAUUAAACAUCACUAAAAAGAUCCCAAAUAGGGGAAACAACCACUGUAAAUAUGUUUGUCAAAUAACUGAAAAACAUGAAAGACUAUCUGAAAACUGUGAAAACAAUGAAAGAGUUAGCUGAGGUCCUCCAUGGUACCACUCCAUUCGAAUCCCAGAGUCACUCCAAGGUGGUGUUGCUGCUCGUGCUCCCUUCUUAGGCGGCAUUGGCUUCUGAAGUCCCAAAGUUGGUCAUGCAUGAAGAAAGGUAGUGGGUGUCAGCGAUAAACACUGAGUAACUAAGCAUGAACGUGAAUAACUGAACUAAUAUCUAGUAAUGUGACAAUGUGGUCCUGUAGGCAUCAUCCUAACAUUAGCCAUCCCAGCUAUGAGCGGAUAGCCUCAUGCUGGAUCAGACCAUGAAACUACCAUGUAAUACCGUGAGAGAAGCUCAAGGCUUGCUCGUCACGUCUAUCUGAAGUCCGACUGUAACCUGGAGGAUCGCGCAAUCUAUGGGGUGGGUGACCGACGUAUAACAGGAGCUAAUCUAUCUUGUCCUGAUUCUUAUCCUAAUCAUGAACCAUGAAUCACACGCACUAUUCCUCGCUGUGAGCUUAUGCUCGAAAUUAACUAAUGUCUGUGCAGUGGAUCACACGCUACUGCAUAGCCUAAAAUACUCAACUGCAUAACACAACUACAUGUAUAGUAGAUCACACGCUACUGUAAAUCCCAACAAUGAUUCAUGAUAACUAAUUACAAUUCUUCGCAUAAAGCAGAAAAGUAAUCCUAACCCCUACCUUUGAAAUAUUUCCUCUGAAGAGUCUGAUUUGAAGUCAUCUCCCUAGAUUUUGAUUGCAUGAUCUGUAUGACCUGAAGAGAUCAAUCGUAGGAAAUCCCAAAACCCCAAAUCCAAACCUGUCAGGAUUAUCCUACGUGGGAUUCAAAACAAAGGAUUGAGAAAGGAGGAAGAAGGUAGAGUAC